RNAcentral lists this ribosomal RNA (699 nucleotides) under Shigella sp. Its description in RNAcentral is "partial 16S rRNA". Lineage: Bacteria; Pseudomonadati; Pseudomonadota; Gammaproteobacteria; Enterobacterales; Enterobacteriaceae. The record is from RNAcentral.
UUCGUCCAGGGGGCCGCCUUCGCCACCGGUAUUCCUCCAGAUCUCUACGCAUUUCACCGCUACACCUGGAAUUCUACCCCCCUCUACGAGACUCAAGCUUGCCAGUAUCAGAUGCAGUUCCCAGGUUGAGCCCGGGGAUUUCACAUCUGACUUAACAAACCGCCUGCGUGCGCUUUACGCCCAGUAAUUCCGAUUAACGCUUGCACCCUCCGUAUUACCGCGGCUGCUGGCACGGAGUUAGCCGGUGCUUCUUCUGCGGGUAACGUCAAUGAGCAAAGGUAUUAACUUUACUCCCUUCCUCCCCGCUGAAAGUACUUUACAACCCGAAGGCCUUCUUCAUACACGCGGCAUGGCUGCAUCAGGCUUGCGCCCAUUGUGCAAUAUUCCCCACUGCUGCCUCCCGUAGGAGUCUGGACCGUGUCUCAGUUCCAGUGUGGCUGGUCAUCCUCUCAGACCAGCUAGGGAUCGUCGCCUAGGUGAGCCGUUACCCCACCUACUAGCUAAUCCCAUCUGGGCACAUCCGAUGGCAAGAGGCCCGAAGGUCCCCCUCUUUGGUCUUGCGACGUUAUGCGGUAUUAGCUACCGUUUCCAGUAGUUAUCCCCCUCCAUCAGGCAGUUUCCCAGACAUUACUCACCCGUCCGCCACUCGUCAGCGAAGAAGCAAGCUGCUUCCUGUUACCGUUCGACUUGCAUGUGUUA